Long non-coding RNA from Melopsittacus undulatus (budgerigar), 2852 nucleotides. RefSeq lists it as uncharacterized. NCBI's taxonomy places the organism in Eukaryota, Metazoa, Chordata, Aves, Psittaciformes, Psittaculidae. The transcript is spliced from 2 exons. The record is from RefSeq and is a predicted model, not a curated record.
UGCGGGCGCGCGCCAAACGGUCCUCGGAGACAGCAGCGUGCGCGCGCACGGCGGGGCGGCCCCUGUCCCCUUCCCCACCGCGGGCACAGCAGAAACGCAAACCGAGUGUGGAGGCCGAACGUGUCAAAGCUGCUGCCGAAGCUUCUGCAGAGGUCGUUGUCUGAGCAGCUGUAGCGGCGCCAGCGCUUCCGUGCUAAGAAACAGCCGACAAGAAACCGGAGCCGCCCAACAACAGAAAGUUACACUCACUUUGGCAGGAAUGGGAGGGCAAAAGUACCUGUGGCACCUUCACAACGUGUGUAGUGGGAUGGCACCUUCAGACGUCUGAAAGGGAGAGAGCAGUUUUGCCACUGUGAAAGAGGAAGCGGCAAAAUACAGUUUGUAUCUUUUGACUGUUGUAGCAGUGUACACUGCGGUGCAUCUUGCUUGUAGCAUGCUGAAACUUCCCGUCAUAUAAAGCUGUAAGGUUGUUUUUGAGGAGAAAAACCUGCUUAAAUGUCUUCUGGCCUUUGCGAUAUAUAGAAAAAACAAGAAAAGGAUUGCAUACUAGCAUGGCUUUACCUGUGUGUUUUAAUAUUACAGCAUAAUAGUGUGCCACAUUCUAUUUCUUUGAGAUGAAUUCCUAGUGAAUGUAGAAUUUUUAAGCGGAUGAAAUACUGACAAACAUCAUCAGUGUUCUCUUAGCUUGGUGUUAUAUCUUUGGCUUUUUUUUAAUGGUAAGUGUAGAAGUACUUAGCUCCUGCUCACGUAUGUAAGUAUAUUCAGUUGUUUGGCUUACAAAUUCUGCCGAAGUUCCUGAUCCUGAACUCUAGUUGCAGACUGCUGUGAGCAGUCACCACUGAAUGUAUGCUUGUGUGUGUGUCUGUAUAUAUGUAUGGCCAUGUGUAAAUUAGGGAACUGGAGAUUGUUGUGAUGUGGGUUUUAUCAAGACCGACCAGAAGGAGCAGCUUGCGGGGGGAGCGGGGGGGGGGGAGAUUGGGUGUUUGGUUUUACCACUGCUUUGUUUAUGUGGGCUAGACUGAGUAAUUCUGAUUCAUAGAAAUCAACUGCGUUCUCUGAUUAACAUAAAUUUUUCAGGAGGAUAAGAGUUCUAAUUCAUUCCAUAUAUUCCCUUCCCAGUCUGAGCUAUUAACAUCAAGUGCUACUAGCACUCCUUUGCAAGUUAUGGUGUGUGCAUGCAGCACUUCCUUUUGGUACAUGCUGUCUAAUGGCAUAUGAGACAUUACUAUGUUGUGAUUUAAUGACCCACAAAAUUCUCCUCUCAAAGGACUGGGACCUCACUGUGUUACCUGUUCACCUGAUUUCUGCUUGUGGUUUGUGGUCUCUGUUUACAAACAGCAACAAUGGCAACAGCAAUGGCAGCUAGUCUGGUCCUAGCUGUGAACACUGAAAAUAGUUCCUUUUCUAGAUGAUUGUCAGAGUUGGAUGCAGAGGCGGAAGUUUUCAAAGACCUACAGGAUGUAGGACUACUUCUUCCCAUUCUUAUAUGAAACAUGAGACUUGUCAUACUUAUAUUUACCCUGUCAUCCAGUAGAUGACAGAUGUUAGUGGUUCAAUAAUUGUCUGAUAAGCUUUCCCUAGUUAAAAAUUAUCUGUUCAGAAUAUGUUACUGCUACACAAAGGACUGCAUCUUCUGUUGCUACCCAAAUACAUAGCCCUGCUGAAUGCUAUGGACUUCCAUUAAAUUCUCUCAAUUAUUUUACAUUUUUUUUCAUAAAUGAUAAGCUUUUGUAGCAUAUGAAAAAUACCUACAGAAAUGUGUUUAGUGGAAAACAGGUACUAGCUGUCCAUGCUAUAAAAAUACUAGAGGUUUAGACAUAAGUGAGAGUAACUUUGGACUGUUUUGCCUGUCUUCUCUGGAGAGACUUGGACCUGUAAAUAAAACAAACUUCUCAGACAGAGUGAUAUCCAGUAGAAUCUCUUACAAUGCAAAAGGAGGAACAAGGCUAGGUACAAAUGCCAUUAUUAGGGCAGAGCAGCAGUAAAAAAAUUUAAGAACCUGCAUAUGCAAUUUGUGGUUUAUAUUGUGUCAAUCAGUAAUCAGUAUUAUCAGUAUCCUGCAGCUGUGGACAGCGUUGCUAUACUCCAGCUUCCUGAGGCUGAUAAAAAUCAUCAUUUUUGGCUCAUAUUACAAAUUAAUUUCAACCCCAAAUAUCAAAUAGUAAGGAAGGGCUGUGAUACAAUCAGAUCAAUAAAAUUCUUUUACACCUUGUUGUUCUUUGCCAUUUUUCAGGAAAUAUGCUGGAAAGCACUGUGUUUUUAGUUUGCUUGUCCAUAAAGCUGUGACAUGUCUCCAUCAUUCUGAGUUUAGUUAAUCGUUGUGUAUCUUCCCAUUCCUUCCCUCCAAUCUCUCAGGGUUGACUUUUUGCCCCCCUUUCCCUAAUGUAAGUGGCAGCAUCCAGUUUGCGUCUUGAGACUGACUGGCUUCUAUCCAGUAUGUAUGUGGUUGAUGGCAGCAAUGGAAAAAUAUUCUUAGCUUUCAGCAUGGCACAGUGUUUUGCCACUGACUUUUAAAUAUAUUCCCUUACUUUUUAAAGAUUUAAUUCUUUUCAGACUUUUGUCAGACAAUCUAUUGUAACUGUGAACUAUGAAGCAUGCUAAAUUAUCUGCUGAAUUUCUGAAUCACUCAUAUUUUCAACAGUUAACUAAAGUAGUCCAUAUGUUCUGCCCUAUCAUAUUAAACAGAAAUGUUGUGAAAUACCUCUAGUUUGCCUGUUCAAAAUAGCACCAUUACUGAGAUUGGCCCCAGUGAAUACAAUCAGCUGCAUAUUGAUUACUAACAGUAGCUGGUCCAAGAAAACACGUCAUAACCGGUCAUCUAUUUAAAAUUAAACAACAUUCCCUGUUUAGUA